This 492-nucleotide ribosomal RNA is filed under the name uncultured bacterium. Its description in RNAcentral is "partial 16S ribosomal RNA". It matches the Rfam family "Bacterial small subunit ribosomal RNA", at positions 29 to 507 of the family's 1533-position model. The record is from RNAcentral.
AGUGAACGCUGGCGGUAGGCCUAACACAUGCAAGUCGAACGGCAGCACAGUAAGAGCUUGCUCUUACGGGUGGCGAGUGGCGGACGGGUGAGGAAUACAUCGGCAUCUACUUUUUCGUGGGGGAUAACGUAGGGAAACUUACGCUAAUACCGCGUACGACCUACGGGUGAAAGCAGUGGAUCUUCGGACCUUGCGCGAUUGAAUGAGCCGAUGUCGGAUUAGCUAGUUGGCGGGGUAAAGGCCCACCAAGGCGACGAUCCGUAGCUGGUCUGAGAGGAUGAUCAGCCACACUGGAACUGAGACACGGUCCAGACUCCUACGGGAGGCAGCAGUGGGGAAUAUUGGAGAAUGGGCGCAAGCCUGAUCCAGCCAUACCGCGUGGGUGAAGAAGGCCUUCGGGUUGUAAAGCCCUUUUGUUGGGAAAGAAAAGCAGCAGGUUAAUACCCCGCUGUUCUGACGGUACCCAAAGAAUAAGCACCGGCUAACUUCGUG